UGCAGUCGAGCGGACAGAUGGGAGCUUGCUCCCUGAUGUUAGCGGCGGACGGGUGAGUAACACGUGGGUAACCUGCCUGUAAGACUGGGAUAACUCCGGGAAACCGGGGCUAAUACCGGAUGGUUGUUUGAACCGCAUGGUUCAAACAUAAAAGGUGGCUUCGGCUACCACUUACAGAUGGACCCGCGGCGCAUUAGCUAGUUGGUGAGGUAACGGCUCACCAAGGCAACGAUGCGUAGCCGACCUGAGAGGGUGAUCGGCCACACUGGGACUGAGACACGGCCCAGACUCCUACGGGAGGCAGCAGUAGGGAAUCUUCCGCAAUGGACGAAAGUCUGACGGAGCAACGCCGCGUGAGUGAUGAAGGUUUUCGGAUCGUAAAGCUCUGUUGUUAGGGAAGAACAAGUACCGUUCGAAUAGGGCGGUACCUUGACGGUACCUAACCAGAAAGCCACGGCUAACUACGUGCCAGCAGCCGCGGUAAUACGUAGGUGGCAAGCGUUGUCCGGAAUUAUUGGGCGUAAAGGGCUCGCAGGCGGUUUCUUAAGUCUGAUGUGAAAGCCCCCGGCUCAACCGGGGAGGGUCAUUGGAAACUGGGGAACUUGAGUGCAGAAGAGGAGAGUGGAAUUCCACGUGUAGCGGUGAAAUGCGUAGAGAUGUGGAGGAACACCAGUGGCGAAGGCGACUCUCUGGUCUGUAACUGACGCUGAGGAGCGAAAGCGUGGGGAGCGAACAGGAUUAGAUACCCUGGUAGUCCA
This 758-nucleotide ribosomal RNA is filed under the name Bacillus subtilis. RNAcentral's name for it is "bacterial SSU rRNA". It matches the Rfam family "Bacterial small subunit ribosomal RNA", at positions 56 to 797 of the family's 1533-position model. Lineage: Bacteria; Bacillati; Bacillota; Bacilli; Caryophanales; Bacillaceae. The record is from RNAcentral.